CAUCAGUCAUAUGAGUUAAUCGAUCGAUCUGAGUCCGAUGUAAAAUCUUAAUGAAAAACUCUUUUCCAUUAUUUCACUCUGCCAUGGCCAUGGGCUUAAGGACUCAAUCUUUCAAUUAUCAUAGGACUACUCCUCUCAUCUACCGAGGUUGAUAGAUCCCAUCUUGGUGCGACCUAGUUCCUACAAUGAAUGUGCUACAGCCAACAUACACCUCAAAGUUUUGAAUGGCUAGG
RNAcentral lists this long non-coding RNA (233 nucleotides) under Elaeis guineensis (African oil palm). Its description in RNAcentral is "long non-coding RNA (EGUI_LNC020220)". Lineage: Eukaryota; Viridiplantae; Streptophyta; Magnoliopsida; Arecales; Arecaceae. The record is from RNAcentral.